AUACGUAGGGGGCAAGCGUUGUCCGGAAUCAUUGGGCGUAAAGCGCGUGUAGGCGGCUCGGUAAGUCUGCUGUGAAAGUCCAGGGCUCAACCCUGGGAUGCCGGUGGAUACUGUCGAGCUCGAGUCCGGAAGAGGCGAGUGGAAUUCCUGGUGUAGCGGUGAAAUGCGCAGAUAUCAGGAGGAACACCAAUGGCGAAGGCAGCUCGCUGGGACGUGACUGACGCUGAGACGCGAAAGCGUGGGGAGCAAACA
This 252-nucleotide ribosomal RNA is filed under the name uncultured prokaryote. RNAcentral's name for it is "partial 16S ribosomal RNA". It matches the Rfam family "Bacterial small subunit ribosomal RNA", at positions 523 to 774 of the family's 1533-position model. The record is from RNAcentral.